Molecule: long non-coding RNA, 720 nt
Organism: Rhagoletis pomonella (apple maggot)
Lineage: Eukaryota; Metazoa; Arthropoda; Insecta; Diptera; Tephritidae
Exons: 2
Source: RefSeq, a predicted model, not a curated record
UGUCGCGCGAUUGCAGCGAUACGCAUGGAAAACUUAACUGGCGAAAUUAUUAAGCGAAAUUCAAAUGAGCUUAUCGAAGUACCGUCGAAGCGUCAACAAACGCGAAAAUUAAUCAAAUAAAAACCUCUUACACAAAAUGAGCAAAUGAAAAGUAUAAAAACCAAUCAACGUGGAAUUUAACUUUCCUGUUGAAAAAAAAAACAAAUGUAACUGACUACCACAGACCAAAACAAAACCUCAUCAAUCGCUUUCAAGCUUAACAACAACUACAUAAAUGAUGGUUGCUGUAGUAGUAGCCUAAAUCGACAAAAAUAACAACAAGUGCUGCGUAAAUAAUUUAGCUAAGCCAUUAAAUUUACGCGAGCUGUCGCAAAAAGAUUCUCAAACACAAAAUACAAAUACAUACACACAUCUCUACAUCGUUCGAGUGCGUCCAAAAGUGAAAAAAAUAUAGCCAGAGCGCAAAAUUAUCUCCGAAAGCAAACAAAAGAGAAAUUACAAGAUUUUUUAAGUGAAAAAAGAAAUAUGUGCGAUAAACAAAAGCACUGCCACAAGUAAAUUCAGCGAAACCAGAAACAAAAAACGCCAAAAAAUUUACUGUCAGCGAAAUAUUUCGACAAAAGAAAAUUCAAUUUAAAACGCGUUAAAAGAUUUGCGCCUUGGCUGGGUAGAGUGCAUUUAUGUUUUAAAAGGGAUGAAAGAGCAGCAAAAAAAACAAAG